Non-coding RNA from Pelobates cultripes (western spadefoot toad), 207 nucleotides. NCBI's taxonomy places the organism in Eukaryota, Metazoa, Chordata, Amphibia, Anura, Pelobatidae. The record is from the annotation of a GenBank genome assembly.
CAGAGAUGAAAAAAUAUCUCAAUCGGUGGAAUCAGAGGUUUUAUAGCAUACAUUUUGAUCAUAAAUCAGCAAACUCACUUUUUAGCGAAUAAACCCCUUCCUGUGACAAGACGGAGUAGUACGAUAUGACAAGGGGGCACUUACCCUAGUAAGAGGGAUUCUGUAAAAUGCUGGAUCAACUACAGCUACAACCUUUGUUAAUGCAUG